UGCUAGGCGACACUACCGCCACUUCCUGUGUGACAGUGAGGGAAGUUGAGAAGUGUAGUCUAUCUUCUAAGAAGCCACAUGCCUACCUACUCAGUCAUCUCCUAAGGAACCAGAAGAAAACGGACAUGUCCACCGCCUGUGCCGCCCCGUACAGCCUGAACUCCCUGAGGCUGUUCUGUGGCUGCAGUCGGUCCCUGGGUGCUGCUAUUUUAGGAGGGAGCUACCAGGCAUGUUUACGGCACUCUUGAAGCUGACUCGAGGGCUUCGCUCUUGCUGGGCAAACCUUCUAACAACUAGCGACCUCUCCUCUCCUCGUGGAUCAGGAUGCUCUGUGUUUUAGCAGGGCGGUAUCUGGUGGACGACAUACCUGUUCGGAAGGUGGUGGCUGCCGAAGGUCGUACUUCCUCCAGGCCCCACAAACAACCUCAGGCCUUCUUCUGCAACACAUAAUUGGGAUGCUCGUUAAGCAGACGGCCAUCAGACGACUACCCAAUAAUAUGCAUAUUGUAGUAAUCCACAUUUUACAUUGAUUAAACGUAUCAAAGCUCUGAAAGAGACAACUGGAGCCAGCCUCCAGCUCCUUCUCGCCAACUUCCCCAAAGCUCCUUUUCUCUGAACAGGAAUGACAGCUCUUUCUACAAAUUUUUCAUGAGGUUUAAUUAUUUCUAUUUCCAGCCAGUUACACAACAAAACAGCCAACUGUUAAGUGUUCUCUCUUCCACCAGCUUGAGUAAUUGCACCUUUCAAGUUGGUGGCAUAUAAAUUCUCAGUUUCUGUGGAAAAUUAGAGGAGACUGCGGGAUUCUAUUCACUACUGUUUCAAGACCACCACCCCAGCCCUCCAAACUGGGUCAGGGACCUGACACUCAUAAAGUGCACGGACAUGAAAGCUUUCUUUAAAAUUGAUCUGUUACCCCCUCUCCCCACAACUACCAGUUCUGGGGAUUGAACCCAGGGCCUCAUACAUCCUAGGAACUGGCUGUACUACUGAACUACGCCUCCUUCAGCUGAUUUCUUCACUCGUUUGUUCCUUUUCCAGCAUCACCAGCCUUCGUCAGACAAGCUACAGAACUAUCUUUGCUUUGGCGGACGGGGAAUGAUUCUACACAUGGGCGGCGGCAGCCCGAUCAAUCGAUCCUGUGGGCUGACGCAGCUGUGGACCUCAGCACCCGCCCGCAUCCGUUCUCCGCACACCUUCUGCACUGGAGUCGAGGCUGAAGUCCUGACUCUGCAGGAUUUUCUCCACAAUGUCAUCCGCAUCCACUCUGGUGUCGUCAACCCGCUUCAGCUGAGACUCAACCGAAUCCUGCUUCACCGGGCACCUUCGGAAAGAACCACAGUUGUUUGCACCUUUUGUACUGAUGGGGUUCAGUUGCACAUACAGGUGUGUUUUACACGCAGCGUCGCCGCGUGGGCGGGCACCUGGUGAGCUUCUCCGAAGCGUCUCCUUCCCUGUCAGCGGAGUCAGGGUUUGGUUCAGCUGUGGCCGGCUCCAUUUCAUCACACGGCUCCAGAAUGCUUUCCACUCCUGUGGAUGUGCUUCCCACUGAGGUAUUUCUCCUGUGGCAGAACUCGGAGAAGCUGGAUGACCGGGAGUGGCAUGUGCUGUACCCUGCCGGAGGAAAAGUCACUUUGCAUGUAUUCACGCUACCAGUCACUCUACAACCGAACUUUGUCCGAAUGUGUGCACAUGUUGAGAUGGGUGCACGUGCAUGUGUGUGCAGAUGCACACGUGUGAGCGUGUGUAGAGAGGCCAGUGGUUGAUCGGGUAUCCUCUCUCACUGGCCACCUUACUUUUGAGACAGGAUCUCUCGCUGAGCUUAGGACUUGCUGAUUUGGCUGUAACGGUCCCUGAAAUCCUUCUGCCUUUGUCUCCCCAGUGCUUAGAUUAUAGGUGUGAACUGUUGUGUCCGACUUUCACGUGAGUGACUGAGCUCAGGUUCUCAGGCCUGCAUGACAAGCAUUUUACUGAACCAUCUGUCAUCUCCCAGGUGCAAUGUUUUUCAGCCCACACCGGAGUAACUUCAAGUUAAUUACUGAAUUUUAUUUUGUUUGGGACUGGCACCUGCUAUACAGCAAGCAGAGGCUGGUCUUGAACUUGCCAUCCUUCUCUCCCAGCCUCCCCACUGCUAGGAUAACAGGUGUGUACCACCCCCACUUGGCUUCAAAUCCCUUAAGAACAGUGGUUCUCAACCUGUGCCUCCCAAUCCCUUUGGCAAACAUCCAACUCCAAAAAUAUUUACAUUACGGUUCAUAACAGUAGCACAAUUACAAUUAUGUAGCAACGAAAAUAAUUUUAUGGUUGGGGGUCACCACCACUCAGGGAACGAUAUUAUUAGGGUCACAGCAUUAGGGAGGCUGAGAACCAGUGAUCCCGAAUAAUAAGGAGUUGAAUCCCACUGGGGGCCUCUACCUGAAACUUUGGACUGCUGGCUUGCAUAGCUGGAUGUUCUAGAAUGUCCCCAGGCACCAAGUUCAUCUGGAACAGAGGCACUCUUUGCUGAAAGAUCUGCAACAAGUCACGUGAUGUUACUAUAACAAGUUAAUGUCCAAUUUGUACUUUAACCUGCAGAUUUUAUUAAUUCGCAAGUUCAUAAUCAAGGAAAACGCAUUGUAAAGUGA
This is a long non-coding RNA of Peromyscus maniculatus bairdii (prairie deer mouse), 2621 nucleotides long. RefSeq lists it as uncharacterized. NCBI's taxonomy places the organism in Eukaryota, Metazoa, Chordata, Mammalia, Rodentia, Cricetidae. The record is from RefSeq and is a predicted model, not a curated record.